This 570-nucleotide ribosomal RNA is filed under the name uncultured bacterium. Its description in RNAcentral is "bacterial SSU rRNA". It matches the Rfam family "Bacterial small subunit ribosomal RNA", at positions 335 to 918 of the family's 1533-position model. The record is from RNAcentral.
AUUCCUACGGGAGGCAGCAGCAGGGAAUAUUGCGCAAUGAGCGAAAGCUUGACGCAGCGACACCGCGUGUGGGAUGACGGAUCUAGGUUUGUAAACCACUUUCAGGAGGGAAGAAAAUGACGGUACCUCCACAAGAAGCCCCGGCCAACUACGUGCCAGCAGCCGCGGUAAUACGUAGGGGGCGAGCGUUGUCCGGAUUUAUUGGGCGUAAAGAGCUCGUAGGCGGUUCAACAAGUCGGUCGUGAAAGUUCAGGGCUCAACCCUGAAAUGUCGAUCGAUACUGUUGUGACUAGGAUACGGUAGAGGUGAGUGGAAUUCCGAGUGUAGCGGUGAAAUGCGUAGAUAUUCGGAGGAACACCAAUUGCGAAGGCAGCUCACUGGGCCGCUAUCGACGCUGAGGAGCGAAAGCUAGGGGAGCAAACAGGAUUAGAUACCCUGGUAGUCCUAGCUGUAAACGAUGGAUACUAGACGUAGGAACUGGAUUGACGGUUUCUGUGUCGCAGCUAACGCGUUAAGUAUCCCGCCUGGGGAGUACGGUCGCAAGACUAAAACUCAAAGGAAUUGACGGAU